Carya illinoinensis is the source of this 913-nucleotide long non-coding RNA. RefSeq lists it as uncharacterized. Lineage: Eukaryota; Viridiplantae; Streptophyta; Magnoliopsida; Fagales; Juglandaceae. The record is from RefSeq and is a predicted model, not a curated record. The transcript is spliced from 2 exons.
CUAAGCCACCUAGCUUCAAAUCAUUUUGUCACGCUCCAUCCAAAAAAAAAAAAAAAUCAUUUUAUCAUGUGUUAAAACCAAAAUAAAGAAAGAACUUUGAAUAGUGGGUAAAGCAGUACUUCGCUUGCUUGUUACACACACACGUAUAUAUAUAUUAUAUAUCCGUUACUUGCCUAGCUUUCAAUAAAUAUAUUGGAGUCGUACUUCAACAGCGCUAGCUAGUACUACUGCAACUAACUGUCGCAAGCAAUACAAUAAGGAUAAUGAUACGUUUACACCCCUGUACCACUCAUUUACCACCCAUUCCACGUGUCUUGUUUAUUUUUUUUUUUCAACUCUGUUGCUGCCGGUUACUUUUUAUAAAUUUUCUCUUUGUAAUGAUGUGAUUUUCUUGCUUGUGUCAGACUACUUCUGCCGUAUAGAAUAAAAUUUCAUUUUGAAAUUCAAAUCUCCCACGGUUUAUUUUCAUUUUCGUUGGGCUCUCACUAACGCAGGCUGAGAACGAACAUCCCAGCGUCCUCUCCCCUUCAAGUCGCGACUCUUGCGGUGUGGCCAUCAGACAACAGCGCCUUCAAAGGUCAAUAAAGGAGAUAGAAGGAAGAGGACAUCAAGUACAAAUUCAUAAUGAAGCACACAAAAUGAAGUCCAAACCAUCUUUGAUAUUUUGCUGGUUUUUUGUCAAAAAUAUCGUAUAUGAUGUUGGACUUUGAUUACUAGUGGCUAUAUGGCCUUGUUAUCCAAGUUCCUUAGUGACGCCUGUAUGGCUUUGUUUUUUUAGCUUGAUGUGUGUCUCACUGACAAAAGUAGUAUUUAUUCUCUUGUUCUGUUUUUUUGCCCUGACAGUUUCUCUUUGAUGCCAAAUUCAAUAUGUAUGGUAUUUGACAAAAAUGAGAUGAGGAUUAUGCUUAUUGUA